UUGAUAUCCGAACUCAUAACUCCAAAUCUCCAGAUUCACACACACACACACACACACACACACACACACACACACACACACGCCACGUAGGAAAAAGUACAGUCCUGAAAUAUGACAAGUCUUCUAUUUACGCAUGCAGGUUUCCAUGUUUCCUUCUUUAAGGACAAGCACAGAGAACUCGAGAACACGUGCCUACACACUGUGCUGAUGGCGCUCCAGUUCCCCAUCAUGCCUUGUGUUCUCUGUUCCCUGGCAUCUGGACAGUCUCUGAAAUUCUCUCUUCUUAGUGUUAAUUUUAUUCCUAGGACUUUCUAUAAUCAUUUUUAAAACACUGAUUUUAUUUAUUUGUGUAUUUGUAUAUUCGUGUGUGUGUGUAUGUGUGUGUGUGUGUGUGAGAGAGAGAGAGAGAGAGAGAGAGAGAGAGAGAGAGAGAGAGAGAACUGUAGUGUUUUCCCAAAUCUAUUACAUGGUAUAAACACACCCCAGAAAAGAAUCGAAUCAACAAAAGACCAAAAUAAUGAUUGUACCAAAGUCCAACUUGGUGAACCAAUGAGUUCUGGGCUCACCAGGACGGGUCCCAGAUGCUCGGUGGGUCCUGGCCUUGCCUCUUGAGUUCUAGGUAAGGUCUGAGCUUUAGCAUUUUGUGGAUUUGGCCCGGACCUUUACCCUACAAACUCCUGUGAUACUUGGACCAUUUCUGGUGUUUUCAUAACUGUCCGCCAUAAGCUCAUAUUGUACACUUAGUCCCCAGAUAUUACUCCUAGGAGAAGUCAUAGGUGAAAGGCUGCUCUUUUCCUUCUACACAGAAGGAAAUGCUUCCACCAUGGAGAUAUUUUCCAUGUGCCACCAAGUCUCUCAGCUUGCUCUAUAAACACUGGUCAGGGGAGCCGUGGCGUGUACCCUUCAUAGUUUUCUUCAGAGGCUCAGAUGGCUUCUCUGUAGAAGCGCUGCAUACCAGGGACGUGGCCGCUCCUGGCCUAAAAGCAAAGCCAUGGACAUUACAGAACACUGUGAGACUUCUGUGACGUCACACACAUACAAUAGCCUAUUUCCACACUGUGAGGAAGAAUGAAAGGACUUAUUUUCUUAUGUGUUACAAAUAAAGACCAGUUUUGCCUCAGACUGGAGAGAGCAGACCCCCAGAAGGGAUUUUGAAAUGAGAGCAUUUGUUGCAGUUUCUUCACCUCUGAAGUAACACAAAAGAAAAGGAAAAAUUGCCACAUUAGGGGGAAAUUGUAUGUAUCUAUACGUUUUAAAAUAUGCAGCCAUUUGCACACACGAGCACGAGUCCUCCUGGGUUCCCUCCGCAAUUGCUUUCUGUUUUCCUCCGACUCGACAGCUGUAAAUGGUUUUGGUGAAUCGCGCUGGUACAUUUCCAUUAACAUUAGCAAAAUUUAUGUUGACUGCACAGUCAACUGUGAGCCUUGAAAGGCUCUCAUCGUCUUGCACAGAGAACACACAUCUGUGUCACAUGGACGCUUUCCCAUACGUCAGAGUGCCAGUGGCUUAUCAAUCUUGGUCUCGUCUGGACUCGGAAGGCUCCUCUCUCAUUCAUCAGGUUUAGUGUUGACGAGCUGUAUUCUGACAGCGCAGCUUUUCCAUCUUCUCCUCGGUCAGGCACAGCGGGCUUUUCAUGCCAGUGGAUGAGGUUUUCCUUGCCGAACAGGUAUGUUUGUGUGCUGUGCAGAGAGAGGACUAAUUUUGAAACUGUCCAGCUUGCAUAACUUCAAGAUGACGUCCAUUACUCUAUGAGCUGAAUCUUCCUUCCUACUAAAAUAUAUACAAAGGUAUACGAUCUCUGCCUAUCAAGAGUCUUCAUCCCAAGCUUGCAGGGCGCGCGCGCGUGUGUGUGUGUGUGUGUGUGUGUGUGUGUGUGUGUUUUGAAAGUCAUUUGACACAGUCUUUAAGCUCAGAACCUGGCUGAUAAACUCCUUGACCCACCUCCAUAUUUGACCUAACCAGAAACUGAGCAAGUGCUUAUCACACUAUUUGUGAUAUCUAGUGAUUUUUAUGUCCAACACAUCACUUUUGUGAAAUGGACAAAGAGCACACAAAGGUUUUUAGUGUUUUCUCGCCGGCUCUGUGUUCACUUAGAUGCCUGAUGCUGUGAGUUCAUGGAGCAAACCAGGUCUGGAGCACAGAUACACGAGCACAGCCGUACUUCCUUGAAAACACUCCUCUGAGAUGAGGCCCGCAAAUACUAACAUGUGAUCCAAGAUGUUUUCAGCCCCAUGUCCUGCAAGAUGGGUCCUGGUGCAGGCUCAUUUACUCAUCAGGAAAUAUUUGGGUAUCUACUCAGAGCUUGUCUGGGUGUUGGAUGAGUGAUAGUGAAUUAGUUGAAGAAGGCGCUGCCAUCAAGGGACCUAUUGAGGAGGCCUGAGUGAGAUCCACUAGAAGUUCAGGUACGGUAGAGGGUUGAGGAUUUAAAGGUUAGGGUUUUAUAGAGAAGUCUCCUAUAUUUCUGCAGAGGAGAACACAUUCCUGUGGAACUCAUUCCUCUCCAAGAAGGAAAUGUUUGAAGGGCGAAACCAACAAGGAAGGCAGAUAGGAAUUUCUUGAGCUUGGCUUCAGUUACUUUUCAAUUGCUGUGAUAACGCACCAUGAACUAGCAACUUAUAAAAGAAGUGUUUAGUUGGGCUGACAGUUUCAGAGGGCCAGAGUCCAUGAGGGCAGACCAGUGGUAUGGAGCAGAAAAUGCUGAGAGCUCACAUCCUAAACUGCGAGUAGGAGGAAGAGAGAGUACACUAGGAAACACUGAGUCUUUUGUAAACCUCAAAGCCUGUCCUCAUUGACAUAUCCUCCACCAAGGCUACACCUCCUAAUCCUUUUCAAACAGUUCCAGCAAUUAAGGAACACAUGAACCUAAGAGGGUUAGUCCCAUUUAAGCCACUAUACCCAUAAACACAUACACACACACACACACACACACACACACACACACACACACACAAAACAAGAAAAAACAAGAUCCUUUUUCAAACAAGUUAGAAGACAAGGACCUAUACACAAGUUGUCUUUGACUUCCCAAGUUUAUCCUUUGACCUGUAUGUCCAUGUUGUGCUAUACAUGCUCCCACCCUCAUACAUGUGCAUGUGUAUAUUAUACAUGAAGAAAGAAGAAAGAAGGAAAGAAACAAUUUCUAUUUAACAAAAUUCUUAAAACAUGGGAGAAGGAGCUAGAGAGGUAGCUUCUGGGGUUAAGAGCAUAUACUACUCUUUUAGAGGACCUGAAUUCAAUUCCCAGCACCCAUAUCAGGGAACUCACAGUUACCUAUAACUUCAGAUCCACGGGGACCUAACUCCUUUGGCCUUUGUGGACACAUGAAUUCCCAUGCACAUACCUACACCAAGAUAAGAUACACACAGACAGAGAAUUUAAAACGACAAAAGUAAAUCUUAAGAAAACGACAUGGUUUUUAAUGAACCUAACUCCACAUAAAUAAACUUUGAUGUAAUUUGUUACUACAGACUCUUCCUAUAAGAAACACUAAAAAGGCAUAUUAGUCUCAAGUAAAAAGCUAUCAGCUCAUUAGUGAAAUGUGCAUGAAAGUGUCAGACAGCUGCAUACGAAGUCGCAAGUUAAUGUAUCAUUUGGUUAUGACUCUUGUUCCCUCCCUGAAACGGGAUAAUUUUAUGAAACAAGUUGUUCACAUUUAUACUGAUGAGGUAUUAAGAUACCACGGUGGCGUUAGCAGCAUAGGGUAGGGUAUAGAUGUAUAAAUGCAGGAUUUUAGGACGUACAUUUUUGAAACACACACCUAGCCAAAUUGGUCAAAGAAGAAAUAGAAACACUAGAGAGCUUCAAACUAAAAGGAGGAGAUGAGGGAGAGGGGGUACUCCCUGAAUUCUCCCCAAGACUUAAAAAACUAACACUACAUAUCCUAAAUGCUUCCAAAAUAAAAGAUGUAAGAAAUAAUCCCUAGUUUAUUGAGAGGCCAGCGUUGUUACAACAUCAAGCCAAAGGCAUCACAAGAGCACUGCAGACAAAUUGUCUCUUAUGAAUAAAGGUGGAAAAAUCCUCAUCAAAAUACUAAAAAUUUGAGUUCAGCAGAUAAUACAAAGAACAAUACAAGUCACUAGAAGACAAUGAAUCAAGGGAAAUCUAGUCGAGUCAGAGUCAGAAAGGACAUUUAAAAAUUCUAGCCCUCUCUCCACACAAGCAAAACAUGACUGAAAAUGUGUAGAGAGUGGGGACAGAAGGGCCAACUUGCAAAAAAGUAAGGAACUGCAAAUAGAGUUCUCUUACCAAGGAGAAUACAGGUGGCCUAUAGGUACCUGGAAAGAUACUGAGGCUUCUCCGUCUCUGCAGGGACAUUUAAACAAUGAAGAGAUGACAACUUAGACCAGGAGUUCUCAACCUGGGGGUGCGUGACCCCUUUGGCGGUCAAAUGAUCCUUUCAUAGGGGUCGCCUAAGACCACUGGAAAAGCACAUAUUUACAUUAUAAUUCAUAACAGUAGCAAAAUUACAGUUAUGACAUAGCAACAAGAAUAACUGUAAAAAAAUGACUAUGGUCGGGGGUCACAACACAAGGGACCGUGUUAAAGGGCUGCAGCAUUGGGAAGGUUGAGAACCACUGUUAGGAUGGUUACAAUUUAGAGAAAGGGAAACAGCCUCGUUGGUAAGGAUGGGGAGACACUGAGACCUUGUGUGCUGACACCGAUGGGAGUGCACAACCAUACAGCUGCUGACUGACAGGGCCUGUGGUUCCUCAGAACUUAAACAGUCCCAGUGUUCUCUCUAUGAGUUACACACCCAAAAGGAGUGGAAAUGCUUGCUAGACAAACUGUACAUGGGUACCCAAUCAUUUUAGUGUCACAACACAGAUGCCCUCCAGCUGGUGACUGGGUGAGUAAAUUGUGAUAUAUCUAAAUAGUGACGUCCAUAAAAUAUUGAUUUCACUUUUAACUUUGUAUCCGUGUGUGUGUGUGUGUGUGUGUGUGUGUGCGCACGCGCAAGCUAACAGAGGCAAGAAGAGGACAUCAGAUCCCCUGGAACAGGAGUUAAAGGUAGUUGAGAACUACUGCCAGUGGGUGCUGGGAACUGAAUUUGUAUUCGAUAGAAGUAACAGAAUGAGUUCUUGACCAGUGAGCCAUCUCUCUGGCCCUACAAUGAGUUCUUAACUAGCUAUAAAAGAAGGGACAAGGUACUGGUCUACCUUCUGAGACAUACUGAGCUUCUGAGACAUACUGAAAGGCAGAACGAAAACCCAGCUUGCACAACUCAAAGAACACAUCAAGCAAAGGUAAAGACAUGGCAGAGAAAUUGUCUUCUCGCCUUCCUUAAGGAUGAGGAGAGAAGGGAUGAGGAAGGAGGCUUCUUCUGGGGGAAGGAGGGGAGGAACGAGCAAGUUCUAUAACUUCAUAGCCCUGAUGUUUGCACGAGACUUUAAAUAUCCUAAAAUAAAAUCCACCAAACUUUGCAUGUUUAACUGGUUAAAACAGUGAAUUCUAUUUUAUAGGGAUUUCAUCUUAAUUUAAAAAAAAAAGGCUUUUAAAAGUAUAGCCUUGGUGGGUUACUGGCAAAUUUGAAGACUUAAGGCCUCUGUCUGCAGUUGGCUUACCUACAGCAGCUGCUCAGAGAUCAAAUGACUAACCAGUAAUAAGAGUAUGCAGGUGUGGACCGGCACCACCAUCAUCAAGCCCAACUUAGCUGCCAGGCACAGCAGGCACAGUGCCCAGGGUCCGUAGCACAUUUGAGAAGCCGUAAAAAUGAUUUAAUUUUAGUUUAUCUUAAAAUCAGAAUUGAAAACGAAUAUAUAGUCAUAAAUCCAGUACUAAUCUUUCUACCAACAGCCAUAAAGCAUGAUUUGAAGUGUUUUAUUUUAAUGAUGGAAGAGAUCCAGGAAGACGAACGUGCCUCGGGACCACAGAAGUCAACACGUGGCUCUGGCCACACAAGCAGAGUUAAAGAGACACAGAUGGACUCAAGAGGUUCUUAGAAGAUAACAAUGGAUGGGUUGGUGGCUAGAUACAGGAUCUCACAGCUGGGUGGGAUGCUGGUGUUGACUACUGAGGUGGGGACCCAUGGGAGAAGGCUGGAGGAAGACAAGAAGAUGAGCUCAUGUCUGGCCCGGAGCUAUCCAAGGCGCUGGAGAAGAGUCUGUGUAAAUAAACAGCCCUCACAACUGCUCUUACAGAUGGCUUCCCUCCACACGCUUCUUUGGAUACAUUGUUUCACAUUUACUACAGAGACCGGAGAAACUAGAACAAGCGUCAUUUUCUUGUUUUUUUUUUUUGCUGAAAUGUGCAAAUGCUAAUGUCAUGUUAGUUAAAAAUAACUUUAAGGAAAAAACCAAAACACAUACAGAUAAUAACCCAGCUUCCUUUUGCAUAUCAAGGCAGAUAAAGCUACAAGAGCUAAUAAUAAAGAUAACCUCGUAUAUUCAACAAGCCACACUACCUAUGUCCACAUGGGUGCUGCGCCGGGCGAUGAAACUCAACAGCUGCCGACUGGAUUGAGCUACAAGACCAGGAUGAAACAAGUAUCUUGCAAGUGUUCUCAUGGGGUUUUACAACCCAAGCAUUGUUUUUUUUUUAAUUAAGAGACGUGAUAUGAAUUUGACGACUUUAUCGACACCUUCAAUAACUCCAGAUAGCAUCUAAAGUUCAUGUUUUCAAAACAACAAACCCUUUCGUUACUUAGGUUACACGUGGUAAGGUGACAUAUUUUAAAAUUUGGAGAGAAAGCCUAUGUCAUUUGCAAACCACACGUACAUACGUAGACACACAAAGACACAGAUAAACACACACACAGAGACAUACACCAACACACACAUACGUAUACAUACACACAGAUACACACCGACACACAAAGAUACACACAGAUAUGCAUACAGAUACACACACACACUCACAAAGAUACACACCAACACACACACAAAGAUGCACACAUACACAGACACACAGAUAAACACAGACACACACACACAUACACAGACACACAGAUACAUACAGAGACACACAGAUACAUACCUACAAACACAACACACACACACACAGAGACACAGAUACACACCUACACACACACAAAGAUGCACACUGACACACACACAGAUACACACAUGCAUACACACGCACAUACACAGAGAAAGACACAGAUACACACCUACACACACAAAGAUGCACACUGACACACACACACACACACACACACACACACACACACGCACGCACGCACUAUGACUCCUAACUAGACCCUCAGUAAUAAGAUACAACCUGGCCCAUCAUAUCCCGAAGAGCAACUGAACAAGGUGAGCGGCUCUGGCCCUGAGAAACUACAUCGUUACUUUGACAAUUCCUUUUUCUUGAAAGAUCAGUGGAAGCAUGUCCUUUGUAAAAAUUAAUUCUAUGCUAAGACUUUUUCAUCUGUAAAUUUCUUCCUGACAGUUAUUAAUUUGGGGCCCAACCAGGGCCACAGAGUCUCACCACAUUAAGGUCUAGCCAACUUUUUCUUCCUUUUGGCUCUGAUGCCUGGGGGUCACGGUCAGGACAGAAAGAAUUAGGCAGAAUGUAGGUCAGUUCACCAGGUGAUAAAUUUGCCCCUUCCGUUGGAGCCUCUGAAGUUUCUGAGGCUAAUGGGAUGGCAGGUGCUAUUUUGACCAAAGAUGAAAGGAGAGAAUCUUCAAAGUCCACAGCCGCCUGGCGCUUGAGGUUUGAGAGCACCAGGUGGAGGGGCAGGAAACACAGGUUCUCGGUUUUAAGAGAAGUCUGCUGUUCUAGAAGCAGCCAGAAAUGAAGAGGCCACCUCUGACUGCAUGGUUCUUUUAAAAAGCAGGAGGAGAAGGCAGGGAGCGGAGAAGCUGGACCAAAGGGUUUGCUUGUUCUGUGAUGAGCGCUGAACACAGAGUCAAGCAUUGGAUUCCAGCCCCACGGCACAACACUAAGUCAGUGUGCACAGCGGCAAGCAUUUUGUCUCUUUGGGCCUCUGUUUCCUUGUUUGCAGAUGAGGGUUUAAGUCCCCAUCAUAGGUGUCAUUAGAUGUCCUCGUGUGGUUUUAGUUGCUAGAAUGAUAGACUUGAAACGGUGUGGUUUAUAAAGAAAAGAGGUUUAUUUGGCUUGCUCGCAGUUCCGGAGGCUGGAACGGAAGAGCGGAAGGACACGGCACUGGUGAGAAGGUGAGGGACCUUCCUGCUGUGUCACAAGGUGCUGGAGGACAUCACACAGUGACAUGUUUAUCCCUGGCUUUUCUUAUGAAACCACCAGCCCCACAAUGGGCUCCCAGUCUGUUGACCUCAUCUGAUCCUAAUCACCUUCCCACCGACCACUUCUAAACACCAUCAUGUAAACUGAAGAUUCUGUUUCCGACAGUUGAAGACUAGAGGCCAUGGCAGAGAGCUUCUAGAAGAUUCUUGACAGUGACUACCAACUUUCUAUUGGGUGUUUUUUUCAUCCAGGUUGGUAAUCUUGUCUUCCUGUGUUAUAUAAUGGGCAACAUAAUGAUGUUCUAUGUCCCUAUCCUAUGAGUGUGUUUCCUUAUCUAGCAAAAGGGCUUGCUUGAGGUAUAAUUAAGACAAGACUCUUCAGAUGGGGAAACUAAUCUGAUUUGCCCUGGCAGGCCUGAUGGAAUUACAAGAUUUCUUCUAAGAGGGAAACAUGGCAGAGGGGAGAGAGAGAGAGAGAGAGAGAGAGAGAGAGAGAGAGAGAGAGAGGGAGAGAGAGACGGAGACAGUUUUACUGCUAUUGGCUUUGAAGAUGAAGGAGGGGACCACAAGCUAAGGAAUGCAGGUGACCCCUAGAAGCCAGAAAAAGGAAGGAAAUGGAUUUCAGAUAGGGUUUCUCAAAGGGAGGGAGAGCUCCACCAGCCAAUUCAAGCCUUCUGACUUUCAUAGUUGCUGUAUAAGAUUCUGUGGGGUUCCAGACACUGUUUGAAGAAGAGUACAACAGCAGUAAGAGUCAGCCCCUGUACUGUCUGUCAUGGUAGUGCGUUAAGUGCCACAAUCGUGGCCUGGUUAGCUAUCUCUCUUGUCCCCAAUCUUAUGUCACCAGGGCUGCUUCUGGUCUUGCAGAGAUGAGUGCUGAUUUCCUUCUUGGUGGCAGAGGUUCCAGAAAUGCCUCCUCUAUGAUCCUGUCCCUCCUUGAAGUGACAUCUCAUAUUGACUCACGGAUGAGGGGUGAUUAACAACCAAAAAGAAGAUGGUAAGAAGGGCCAGCUGUGGUUUCUGGAGAAACUUGGAUUCUUCACCUCCAGCUCUUCUGAUAGAUGAAGAAGACCAUCCCUCAGAAGGCACAAGCUUGACAUGCUGUGUUGGGAAAGAGUGAGGUCUCCACGUUGAUGAAAGGCAGGGCUACUCUCAAGGAAGAGUCUUGGAAGAGCCCCUAAACUGCUUCCUGCUCUUGACAGGGACCGUACACCAAGCAUCGAUUCUAGAGGAGGCGAACAGCACUGACAGCUAUUCUUUGUCUCUCGUCUGGGCUUUGCACGGAGCUCGACGUCGUUUCCAUGGGUGAGAAAUACCACUGCCACUACCUUGAUAGCGUUCCUGCCUCCAUGGUUCCUGACCUGCCUAGAAAGGGAGGACCCUGGAGACUCUUGUUCUACAGCUGUCCUCAGGAUACCCUUAAUUCCCAGGCGCAGGGAUAAGCUUGUCUGACCCCAUUUGACCCCGCCGCAGGCGCCAGGCGUCCUCAUUUAUUGUGAGGCCUAAGAGUCCUCAAGGCUGCCUGCCUACUCCCCCGUCCCCGCCCCCCCCCCCCCCCCCCCGCCAACCACCACCCACCACUCUCCUUGUCCUGUGGGGGAGUCAUAUGCCUCCUUCCUGUUGUCUAAGCUUCCCUCUUCCAUAGGCACAAGCCUGCCCCUCUGCGUUUUUUACUUUAAAACGGGUGUUCUGAGGAUUGUCUCUAGUUCAGGUGAUGUGAGAGAACUAGGUCUGAGGGAGGUAGACGGCAACAUUAGUGGGGAUCGGUGCUGCAUUGCUAAAUGUGGCGCAGGGAAGGGAAACACAUCUGGGAUUCCACGGGGCAGCAGCAGAUCUGUCACUUGGGCAGAGCCUUUGAGCGCUCUCAGGUAAUUUCCAGAUAUCUAUUGUUUGCUUUAACCUGACAUUCAUUUGCAUCUGACUGAGUCUGGAAUUUUUGCUGGGACCCUGACUGGGCAGGCUAUUUCUAUUCCCUCCUGCCUAUGCUCCCAGGAGAGGUGGAGACUGUCUUGGGUUUGGCUUGGAGGAUGUCGAUAUGCCUCAUUUUCAAACUAAAGAUCUAGAAGAGACCAGCAAGAAACAGCACAGAGUCUACGUAGGUGGAUACCAGAGAAUCGCCUGGAGAGAUUUACAGGUGUGUUCUGGACUUUGGGAACCGUGGACACACAGAACCAGCUACCUGUUUCGAUUUGAAUUGUGCCCCAACUCAGCUAUGAAGGAAGCAAGUUGCUUAAUUUUCUUCAACAGCGUCUAUUGUUUUGUUCUCCCUCCUCUUCCCUCUCUUCUUCCUUUCUCUUUCCUUUUCUUCCUCUCCCUCCCCCCUUCCUCCUCCUCUUCUUCCUCCUCCUCCUCCUCCUGUUUCCCCUCUUCUUUCUCUUCCCCUUACUUCUGUUUUGGGAGGACAAGGUCUCCCUUGUAUAGCUCUGAUUGGCCUGGAACUUAGCCUUCCUGUUGGAGCCUCCUGACACCUGGGAUUGCAGAUGUGCACCACCAUUCCUGACACCUGGGAUUGCAGAUGUGCACCACCAUUCCUGACACCUGGGAUUGCAGAUGUGCACCACCAUUCCUGACACCUGGGAUUGCAGAUGUGCACCAACCACCACUCUUAGUUUUUAGUUGUCUAGUACCUCAGACUCUCUGCAACAAUACUUUCCUCAAGGAGAGAAUGUACCUGGCAUUAAAGGAUGCACAUGGGCUUUUAAAGGGUGACAGCCACUCUUUGGAGUGGAAGUGCCACUCACGCGCGCCUUUGCCAAAAGAUCUCUUUGCAACGUAAGUGAAUGAUGGUAUGAGCCUUGGGAGAAGACAAGCA
This is a non-coding RNA of Rattus norvegicus (Norway rat), 10950 nucleotides long. The record is from RefSeq and is a predicted model, not a curated record. NCBI's taxonomy places the organism in Eukaryota, Metazoa, Chordata, Mammalia, Rodentia, Muridae.